Molecule: ribosomal RNA, 459 nt
Filed under: uncultured bacterium
Lineage: Bacteria
Description: partial 16S ribosomal RNA
Rfam family: Bacterial small subunit ribosomal RNA
Source: RNAcentral
CCUACGGGAGGCAGCAGUGAGGAAUAUUGGUCAAUGGGCGGAAGCCUGAACCAGCCAAGUCGCGUGAGGGAAGAAGGUACUGAGUAUUGUAAACCUCUUUUGCCAGGGGACAAAGGCGGCCACGGGUGGCCGUAAGGGGGUACCUGGAGAAAAAGCAUCGGCUAACUCCGUGCCAGCAGCCGCGGUAAUACGGAGGAUGCGAGCGUUAUCCGGAUUUAUUGGGUUUAACGGGUGCGCAGGCGGCGUGUCAAGUCAGCGGUAAAAUGUCGGGGCUAAACCCCGGCCGGCCGUUGAAACUGGCGUGCUAGAGUUGUAGAGAAGUAGGCGGAAUUCGUGGUGUAGCGGUGAAAUGCAUAGAGAUCACGAAGAACCCCGAUGGCGAAGGCAGCAUACCGGCUCCACACUGACGCUGAGGCACGAAAGCGUGGGGAUCGAACAGGAUUAGAUACCCUGGUAGUC